RNAcentral lists this transfer RNA (63 nucleotides) under Anacestra spiniger. RNAcentral describes it as "tRNA-Thr". Lineage: Eukaryota; Metazoa; Arthropoda; Insecta; Hemiptera; Alydidae. The record is from RNAcentral.
GUUUUAAUAGUUUAAAAAAAACAAUGAUUUUGUAAAUCAUAAAUAGAAAUACACUUUAAAACU